CUUGUUUUAGAUGAUGAUGUGUUGAAUCAAUGUUGAUGAAGACUGUAUUUUGGCAACUUCAGUUAAAGGGAAAGAAUAGUUUCAAUUGUGAAGCAGAGAACAUAAGUUCAAAGCAACCCUGUGGUUACUGUUAAGGCCAACAGAGCUGAACACAUCUUGCAGAAGCUGAUUGAAUGUGCUGCUGUUGAACUCUGAUCCCAUGGAUAGAUUGUGAGCAUCACCUUUAGUAGGAUGGCAAAUGUUCUCUGCUAAGCCAUGGCCAUAAAAUGAGCAUUGUUUCUUUGUAUACAUUGACAAGUGAAAAAAAGAAACUAAACUCUGCCUUUUUAUUAAUGGAUGAAUGAUGUGAAUUAAAAUAUUUGACCAUUUUAAAGCAUGGAGUGUGGAUGUGCUAAGUUGUUUGUGGGAUUGAAUUUCUAAUAACUGUUUUAAUUGGAGGUUGAAUUCAAGUCCAAAUAGGCAGAUCUAAAUAGCCAUUUAAACCAGUAAUCACACCACUAGGCAGAUCUUGAUGUGUCUUCAAUAAUUAAUCUGGGCAGAUAUCCUUAAAUAAUUCAGUGAUUUUUAAUUAAAGAAAAUAGGGUAUUUAGUUGAUUUUUUUAGUCUGGGGAAUAUUUAUCAACAUGAUUCCAUGCCUUUCCUUUUUUUCUAAUAUUUUUUCUUUCCCUGCUUGGUAUUUUACGACUUUUAGAUUCUUUCUUAGCUAAAUAUUU
RNAcentral lists this long non-coding RNA (713 nucleotides) under Zonotrichia albicollis (white-throated sparrow). RNAcentral's name for it is "lncRNA (ENSZALG00000012635.1)". Lineage: Eukaryota; Metazoa; Chordata; Aves; Passeriformes; Passerellidae. The record is from RNAcentral.